AUGAACGCUGGCGGCGUGGAUAAGGCAUGCAAGUCGAGUGGGUUUAGACCCACGGCGAACGGGUUAGUAACGCGUACGUACCUACCUUAAACUCGGGGAUAACUGGUCGAAAGGCCUGAUAAUACCCGAUAGUCUUACAUUUGCCACGGCAUUUGUAAGUAAAGCUUCGGCGGUUUAAGACGGGCGUGCGUCCUAUCAGCUAGUUGGUGAGGUAAUGGCUCACCAAGGCGAUGACGGGUAGGGGGCGUGAGAGCGCGACCCCCAACACUGGGACUGAGACACUGCCCAGACUCCUACGGGAGGCUGCAGUCAAGAACCUUCCCCAAUGGGCGAAAGCCUGAGGGAGCGACGCCGCGUGCAGGAUGAAGCCUUACGGGGUGUAAACUGCUUUUCCCUCCGAUGAAGACAAGUAUGGUUCGCCCAGCUUGUUUGACACUAGGAGGGGAAUAAGAGAUUGCUAAUUGCGU
This 467-nucleotide ribosomal RNA is filed under the name uncultured bacterium. RNAcentral's name for it is "bacterial SSU rRNA". It matches the Rfam family "Bacterial small subunit ribosomal RNA", at positions 29 to 506 of the family's 1533-position model. The record is from RNAcentral.